CCAGCACAGAGGUGACAUGUAGAGGUUAUAAAAGAAAGGGUUGUUUUUCUUUCAUAAGAUGCCACGCAUUAUUAGAGAUAUGAUUUAGCAGAGGGCUGUUAGAGUUAGGGUACUAGGAUUGGGCUGCGGUUGGACUUGAUGAUCUUUGAGGUCCUUUCCAACCUGAGUAAUUCUAUGAUUCUAUGAUUAUCUGGAUUUUUCCUAAAUAUAAGUGCAAAACAUUUACUUGACUUUUCUACUUCUUACAGAUUAUGAUUGGCAGUCUUAUCGUGUCCAUUUACUAUCUAUGUGGUACCUUUAUGAUGAUCUCAUACUUUUAAAACUCCUGCUGACUAUAGAUUUCUACUUGCUUACCAUACAACUACAAUUUACAGCCUGUAAUUCUUACUCAUUAACAGCAAUUUACUCUUUUUCAAGUAAUUACUUAUUUGGAUGAAAGUGUUUAGUAUGGGAUCACUUUUUACAUUAGAGGAUUGACCCCAGAGAGAGCCUGUAUGAGUAGCCAGCAAUGUCCUAAAGUCUGACCAAACUCAGAACUUAUGUGAUAUAAAGAGUCACUUGGUGGUGAAAAACAUUCCUCAGAAACCAGGAUUCAUUAAUCCUGCUUAGCACUGAUUUUUUGCCAUAAGCAGUUGUCAAUCAUUUACAUUUGCGUGUUUGAGUUCUUCCUUCUGAUAUUUUCAGCUUUCUGAAGCCAGACUUUUCAAAACACCCAGUCCUGGCUGGGGAUACAUGAUGAUGAUCCCAAUAAACAUUAUCCAGCUGUGAUGGCUAAUAUCUGCACAGCUACUGCUUUGCACUGUCUAACCAGCUGGUAACAUGUAGAUAAAAAUAUCUAGUAGAUAUUACAUUACACACCAGAUGUUAUGCACUGCAUGUUAUACAUUGCAUUCACUGAAGCUAUGCUGUGUCUUCUGUGUGUCUGGAUAAUCCAUAAAUGUGUUGGUAGAUGCACUGGGAAGUAGAUGCACUGCACAUGCUGCAGCACCCAUGACACACAGUUUUUUGUCCCUAGACCUCUUAACGCAGUGAAUUAAAUUCAGUCUUCCUGUUGCCUUUAGUGUUGAUUGUGCUAAUCUCAGACACCAUUCCCAAGGACGCUAAUUCAUAACAAUAUGAGAACAUUCACUCCUGAGUUACUAAUAACUUUGAAGCAGGACAAAACAAUUUUCACAAGCAGUGCAUGUCCUUAGUUUUUGCUCAGUUUAUCCUCCUGAAAUACACAGUAAUGAUUGAUUUAAACAUUCCAGCCAUGGGAGUCUUCCCAGCAGAUUUCAGUGGCAACAAUCAAGACAAGUUUGUUUCUAAAGCAAAAAAUUGUUCCCAAUUCAAUACAUAAGCAAUUACACAAUUUCUUCUCUUAGUAUUUAAGCACUCUUUUCCUGAACUUUCUGAUUUUAUGCUAAAGAAGAUGUCAGACCUUCUCUUGCUUGUCACGCCUUUGCUCCAGCAUGUCAGGAGGGUUGGAGAGCAAAGCCAGCUGAACCACAGUCUAAUGAUAGCUGCUCUUGGCAUUGCAAAUGGCCAGUUGUAAUUUUGCUUAUGAAAUAAAAUUUCUAGCUGUUUCUCACAUAGCACAAGAGACAGCCUGUCUCAGUGCAAAUUGAAUUAUUAUAAUGAAGCAAUCCUCCUUUUCCUGCCAAUCUACCCAUACCCUGAUGAGGUUGUGCCAAGUGAUAAAUACAGACAAUGGCAUUGAAACUGAGAUAUUGACUGGCUCCUUCCAUAAAGUCCCCUCAGGUCUUUAUAGAGGCAUGGAAAGAGAGUCUAGGUUGGGCAAAUGUUCUGUGAUUAUUAGGAUGAGGAUAAUGUAGUAAAAUAUGAGCUCAUUCUUCUUUUGAAUGUCUAAAUGAUUCACUACUUUUAUUAGGAUAGUCUGGCUGGUUGUCGUAUUGAUUUAAUGGAAAUGUGUCACUUCUUCAGCUUUCCAUCUUUAUUUUCUCCUUGAUAUUUGGUUUUGGUUGAAAAAACACAGAAAUAAUAAAUUAACUAGAAACAAAAUGAUCAUCUAAUAACG
Gallus gallus (chicken) is the source of this 2017-nucleotide long non-coding RNA. NCBI's taxonomy places the organism in Eukaryota, Metazoa, Chordata, Aves, Galliformes, Phasianidae. The record is from Ensembl.